AAAAAAGGUAAGCUACUAAGAGCGAAUGGUGGAUGCCUUGACUGGUAAAGGCGAUGAAGGACGUACUAGACUGCGAUAAGCUACGGGGAGCUGUCAAGAAGCUUUGAUCCGUAGAUUUCCGAAUGGGGCAACCCAAUGUAUAGAGAUAUGCAUUACCUAUAUAGGAGCGAACGAGGGGAAUUGAAACAUCUUAGUACCCUCAGGAAAAGAAAUCAAUAGAGAUUGCGUCAGUAGCGGCGAGCGAAAGCGCAAGAGGGCAAACCCAGUGCUUGCACUGGGGGUUGUAGGACUGCAAUGUGCAAGAGGUAAGUUUAGCAGAACAUUCUGGAAAGUAUAACCAUAGAGGGUGAUAGUCCCGUAUGCGAAAAACAAAGCUUAGCUAGCAGUAUCCUGAGUAGGGCGGGACACGAGGAAUCCUGUCUGAAUCCGGGUCGACCACGAUCCAACCCUAAAUACUAAUACCAGAUCGAUAGUGCACAAGUACCGUGAGGGAAAGGUGAAAAGAACUGAGGUGAUCAGAGUGAAAUAGAACCUGAAACCAUUUGCUUACAAUCAUUCAGAGCACUAUGUAGCAAUACAGUGUGAUGGACUGCCUUUUGCAUAAUGAGCCUGCGAGUUGUGGUGUCUGGCAAGGUUAAGCAAACGCGAAGCCGUAGCGAAAGCGAGUCUGAAUAGGGCGCUUAGUCAGAUGCUGCAGACCCGAAACGAAGUGAUCUAUCCAUGAGCAAGUUGAAGCUAGUGUAAGAACUAGUGGAGGACUGAACCCAUAGGCGUUGAAAAGCCCCGGGAUGACUUGUGGAUAGGGGUGAAAGGCCAAUCAAACUUCGUGAUAGCUGGUUCUCUCCGAAAUAUAUUUAGGUAUAGCGUUGUGUCGUAAUAUAAGGGGGUAGAGCACUGAAUGGGCUAGGGCAUACACCAAUGUACCAAACCCUAUCAAACUCCGAAUACCUUAUAUGUAAUCACAGCAGUCAGGCGGCGAGUGAUAAAAUCCGUCGUCAAGAGGGAAACAACCCAGACUACCAGCUAAGGUCCCUAAAUCUUACUUAAGUGGAAAACGAUGUGAAGUUACUUAAACAACCAGGAGGUUGGCUUAGAAGCAGCCAUCCUUUAAAGAAAGCGUAAUAGCUCACUGGUCUAGUGAUUUUGCGCGGAAAAUAUAACGGGGCUAAAGU
Molecule: ribosomal RNA, 1172 nt
Filed under: Campylobacter jejuni
Lineage: Bacteria; Pseudomonadati; Campylobacterota; Epsilonproteobacteria; Campylobacterales; Campylobacteraceae
Description: partial 23S ribosomal RNA
Rfam family: Bacterial large subunit ribosomal RNA
Source: RNAcentral